RNAcentral lists this ribosomal RNA (253 nucleotides) under uncultured bacterium. RNAcentral describes it as "partial 16S ribosomal RNA". It matches the Rfam family "Bacterial small subunit ribosomal RNA", at positions 524 to 776 of the family's 1533-position model. The record is from RNAcentral.
UACGAAGGUGGCAAGCGUUACUCGGAAUUACUAGGCGUAAAGGGCAGGUAGGUGGUUUGAUAAGUCUGUUGUGAAAGCUCCCGGCUUAACUGGGAGAGGUCAACAGAAACUAUCAGGCUUGAGUAUGGGAGAGGGUACUGGAAUUCCCGGAGUAGCGGUGAAAUGCGCAGAUAUCGGGAGGAACACCAAUGGCGAAAGCAGGUACCUGGACCAUUACUGACACUCAGCUGCGAAAGCUAGGGGAGCAAACAGG